ACAUGGUCUCGCCACACCUGUAUGGAUUAAGGAUCUUUUGUUGUUGUUGUUUUGCAAAUUCUACCAGCUUGCGAAGGAUGGAUUCAAGAGAAGCAUUCCUCUCUGGUGCCGCUAUUAGAUGGAGAGCGCGUAGAGGUGUUGAGCAACAGCUUCAACAAAUUAGGGACAUGCACAGCGAAAGCUUUGCUUCCCAGUGUUGCAGUAUAGUGGAAGGACAGCCUGGAUUGCACUCACAGCAGAGAGAUGUGGGGGAGAUUGUGGAUGAAGGGAUGAUGGAGGAGGACAUUGUGGUGGGCACAUCAUGUUUUGACCAGCAGUCUUUUGGAAUGGAUCUGCCUGAGGAGGAGUCUGACUCAGACCAAGAUGCAGAUGAGACAGAUCAGUCCUGCAACCUAAGUGAAAGUCUCCAUAGCCGGACCCCCAUUAAGAUGCAACCAAGCAUCAGGGCCAUCCUACUUUGCCCAAGCUCCACCUGCUCCACCUGAACCACUCAGCCCUGCAGUGAGAGCUCCACCACUCUCCCCUUCAGGGCGCCCCUCCUUUUCUGCACCUCCUCAUAGGCUGUUUCAGCUGUCUCCGACCUUUACGGACAUGUCACUAAACCGUCCUCCUCCUCCCGGGAUGUCUUCUGAUGGCCACUCUCUGGAAAGAGCCACUGAAGUUUUUAUGCCCAGCCUCAAUAUGGGCAGUUCUGGGAAGGAGCCAAUAAUAUGUACACGUGGCAAUGCUGGCCUCUAUUGGUGGGAGGGACACAAAGAACCUAAUUUUCAACAUCUUGGCACACGUGUUCUCUGACAGUGUAGCCAAGUUAAUCAAUUGGAAAGGGGUGAACAACAAGAGGAAAUUCAGUGAGAUGGCGACAAGGGGCAUUCUGGCUCGAGCAGUGAGGAAGAACCGGAUGGGCGAGAAGGCCACAGAUACUGAAAUAAAUCAGUUCACUAAUCGGUGGUUCAACCUGGCGUGCGACCGUGGGGGUGGCCGCCGUGCACGCACGCAGCCCCCAGCAACAGACGGCAUGCAGGCACCCACCAACGCACCCACCAACUGGAAAAAAUAAAAAAUCAAACUUUCAACCCACUAAUACCUCACGUAUUUUUGGAAAUAUUUGUAAAUAUCUUGUAAAUAUUAUCCAUUUAUUUUGUGUUUACUACUUUUUUUUGUGUGUUUUGGCUGCUG
Molecule: long non-coding RNA, 1176 nt
Organism: Cololabis saira (Pacific saury)
Lineage: Eukaryota; Metazoa; Chordata; Actinopteri; Beloniformes; Belonidae
Exons: 4
Source: RefSeq, a predicted model, not a curated record